Paramuricea clavata is the source of this 2596-nucleotide non-coding RNA. NCBI's taxonomy places the organism in Eukaryota, Metazoa, Cnidaria, Anthozoa, Malacalcyonacea, Plexauridae. The record is from the annotation of a GenBank genome assembly.
GCUUGUUCCCGUUGUUCUUAGAGUUGUAAUCUUGAUAUUUAGAGUCUUGUUGAUUAUUCCCACUCGACUUAGACGUGCUUUCGCUCAUUUCUCUUGCUUCGAUUUCAAGUUUUAUCGUAGUAAGUAAUUCAUCGAUCUUCCAAGCUUCUUUGGUAGCCUUUCGUGCGAUCUGCAGGCGAAUAUCGCUUGGCAACUUUGACAUUAUAAUCGGUAUCAAUAGGCUGCCAUAUUGUUCCGAGGAAACGCCCAAUGAAGCUAGACCACGUACAUGCACGCUAAUUUUGUCAUAGACGUAUCUUAAGGAAGAUAGUUUCUCUCCUGUGCAAGCUUGUACUUUAAGUAUUUCAUCCAUAUGGGCCGCAAUGACCUGUUGUGGUCUUCCAAAACGGUCCUGGAGAAUUUCUACAGCGGCGUCAUAAUUCGCGUUCGUAAGAUUAAGCCUUUGAAUAGCGCGUAGUGCAGUUCCCUCGAGUAAAGAACUCAAAUAAUUAAACUUAUCGACCUUCGUAAUAGCAUCAUUUUUAUAUAUCGUAGAUUCGUACGAGUCCCAAAACGUAUUCCAUUUUGUUACGUCACCUUUAAGUUUCGGCAAGGUCAGCUUCGGUAAUUUCGGUUUAACAUUCGUUGUUGUACUUGUUGUCGCUGUCGGUUGAGACGUGUUCGUGUUUACUUCGCUUUGACUCGCACUAUUUGAUUGUUCGCCACUGUCAAUAAUCGUGCUGUUCGUUGAAUUAUCAUUCCCAUAGUCUAGUUCUUGAUUCGGUGAUAAAUGACUCGGUUGGACGUUAUUCUUUUCGUUGAUCACUUUCGAAAUUCCAGGCUUUAAUGCAUUUUCGAGUUUCCUUUUAGUGGUUAAUAUUCUAGAGACAACUUCCGCCGAUUCUUCGAUUUCUUGUUCGAUAUCUUUUACAUCGCAUAAUCCUAAAAUCUCUUCGUCAAUUUCGCUUAGAAUUUUUAAUUUCUCUUCGAGUAAAGAUCGGAUAAUUUCGCAUCGAUCGCAUCAACAUCGCCGGGUAAAUGUAGGAGGUCGUCCGCUUCUUUCGCUAAUUUAGUACAGACACCACGAUGUUCGCCUCGCUUCGCUCUCAAUCGGUCUAAAUUCUCUUUCGAUUCGGUCAUAAUUUCGCUUGGAUUCAACUUGUUAUGUUUUCAAGUUGCCCCACGUUGGGCGCCAUGUAAUAAAUAUCGUAAAUCGCUUAUAAAUCGCUCGUAAUUCGCUCGUAAAUCGCUAUGAACUCCUUAAACAACAGUGAAACAAUAUAUUAUACUCGAAACAAUACAAAAUUACAAUAACAAAGCAAUUACGUACAUGAUUGACAGUUAAUACAACCUAUUUAUAGCUAAUUAUAGCAUAAUGUCUCUGUCUGCUAAUGUAAACGAUAUAUUAAAAUGUUAAUAAUUACUCUGUUCAUAACACAGUGCAAAUUCCAUAUUUCACAAAUUUAUAGUGGGUUAACGUUGAGAUUUUAGAUUAGAUGAAAAUAGGUAACUGUCAAGCUCCAUUUCCUGUAAUACGCUAACCACUACUCAAACUAGUGUUGGUAAAUAAACAGUAAAAUUUAAGAAUCAUUGUUAAAGCCAUUUGAGCAUGUCAGUUGGUAUAGAAACAUCAUGUCUUUACAUGGUAGUUUAAUGGUACUGCAAAUGCUGAGCUAUAAAAGCACAAAUUGUACGCACACAUACACUGAAGAAAUCAGUACUUAAUACUGUAUCUUGUUACUGACGUAAGCAUUUUUGUAUGCUGGCCCACGUUACCCGGUCAAACGCUUCCAAAAAUAUCAAGAUUAAUUGUUAGUUAAAGUGUCCAUGAUCAUAUCCUCACGAAAUCUUCGCAUGAUUUGGUUUCGCCUUGUGCUGCAUGUAUGCAAUUAAACUAACUCAUUUCUAUUACCAUGAUAUCUUUAAGAAACAGUAUAAAUGAAAUAUUCGUAGAUUACAACUGAAAAUGACGAUGUAUAACCAGGGCGCUAUAAAACACGGGCGGUGAAACGGAGAUAGCGCCCCUGAUCUUUGUGUGAUGCGCGUACCCCCCGUAUACAUUAAUUUAUAAUGUCAAUAAAAAUGGAAUUGGAAUGUUUAUGCAAAAAAGAGCUGAAAAAACUAAAGUAAAAAAUGUUUUCUGCAUAUUCCUAAACAACUUGAUGGUUUGAAGACAUUGUUGGAUUCAUUUUCUGUAUAUCUAAUGAAGGAAAAAGGGUUUUAAAGAUUCAUCAUGAGCGAAAUAAAAAUUUGAAAAGGAAUCGAGCUGAUCGAAUGUGGGCAUAUUCCAAAUACGAAAAUUUUGGUAUGAAAUGGGAUAUUUUACUUCAUAAUGCGAAGGUAGGAUAAACAUUUUCACAGUAAGAAUAUUCCGACAUUGCUUGGCUACUAUUUUUCGAUAAUCGUAUAGCCCAAAAUUGACCAUGCAUGCAUUUAAAACAACUACAAUUUGAUAAAAACAACUACAAUUUGCUCGACAAUUUGAAAACUUAAAUAUAUAACCGUUUUUGUGUUAACCAGCCGGCAUGCUCGGAACCAUUGAAAGUUCAUUGUAAAAUGUUUUUUACUAAUUGAUUUGAUUUCUAUUAUUGGUAUAACUGCCGCCGACACUCCAAAA